CAUUCCUUCAAAGGGGAGUAGCUGCAAGUGAUUUUUACUUGAACCAAAGUCGUCAUUACGUGGAUUAUUUCCACCGGCUUUGUUUGGCAUGAUACAUAAAUGUCUAGCAAGACCUUUGCCUCGUUCGUACACAAGGCAGGGGUCUUUUUUGUAUUCAUAAAGAUCCCUCAUUUU
This 174-nucleotide small RNA is filed under the name Shouchella lehensis G1. Its description in RNAcentral is "Bacillus lehensis G1 Manganese Mn2+ riboswitch aptamer (yybP-ykoY)". It matches the Rfam family "Manganese Mn2+ riboswitch aptamer (yybP-ykoY)". Rfam says of the family: This RNA was originally discovered in E. coli during a large scale screen and was named SraF. The family was later found to exist upstream of related families of protein genes in many bacteria, including the the yybP and ykoK genes in B. subtilis. The record is from Rfam by way of RNAcentral. Lineage: Bacteria; Bacillati; Bacillota; Bacilli; Caryophanales; Bacillaceae.